Molecule: small nucleolar RNA, 103 nt
Filed under: Myotis davidii
Lineage: Eukaryota; Metazoa; Chordata; Mammalia; Chiroptera; Vespertilionidae
Description: Small nucleolar RNA SNORA31
Rfam family: Small nucleolar RNA SNORA31
About the family: ACA31 (SNORA31) belongs to the H/ACA class of snoRNAs which are thought to guide the sites of modification of uridines to pseudouridines. ACA31 is predicted to guide the pseudouridylation of U3713 in 28S rRNA and U218 in 18S rRNA.
Source: Rfam by way of RNAcentral
CCACAGGCAUUAAAAGCCAAAGGGACUGGGAUGCGAAAGAAAAAUAUCCCUGCGCUUUCUGUCUGUCUUUGUGGCAGCCCAGAUUGAAUAAGGGACUACAUCU